GUGCUUGCUUUGGCAGCACAUAGGCUAAAACUGGAAUGAUAGAGAAGACCAGCGCUGCCCCUGCUCGAGGAUGACAGGCAAAUUUGUGAGGACUUCCAUAUUUUU
This is a small nuclear RNA of Cervus hanglu yarkandensis (Yarkand deer), 105 nucleotides long. The record is from Ensembl. Lineage: Eukaryota; Metazoa; Chordata; Mammalia; Artiodactyla; Cervidae.